CCCAGAGGACGACCUCAGGGACGACACCUAGAGGACGACCUC
Ixodes scapularis (black-legged tick) is the source of this 42-nucleotide non-coding RNA. NCBI's taxonomy places the organism in Eukaryota, Metazoa, Arthropoda, Arachnida, Ixodida, Ixodidae. The record is from Rfam.